UGUACGGUAUCGAUGUUGAGAUCAGAAGAAGAAUGAAAACAGCAAAAGCUGAUGUUGUCAUAAACAAAAAUUGUUCCAUUUUUAGUGCAUUUUCUGAAAAAUCUGCUUAGCGAUUUUGAUUUGGUUGGACUUUUUAAAA
Non-coding RNA from Caenorhabditis elegans, 139 nucleotides. The record is from Ensembl. NCBI's taxonomy places the organism in Eukaryota, Metazoa, Nematoda, Chromadorea, Rhabditida, Rhabditidae.